UUCCUAAUCAUAUCUUCAAAUCGGGUCUAUAUACCAAAGUUCUGAUAAACCUAGCGUAUAUUCAAUUCGUUACGAUAUUCAGAAAUGACAAAACCAAACAAGGUGCGACGGAUAGCUGAUUUCCAUCACCAUGAUUUGCCGUCUUGCCGCUCAAAAAUGUACAAUAAGCUUCACCAAAAGGAGAAACGACCAAAACCAUCAGAGAAGAAAGAAUGGGAAGGGGCAACUUGCUCUGUUUGCAUGGAGCACCCUCACAAUGCAGUGCUGCUGCUGUGCUCAUCUUAUGACAAGGGAUGUCGUCCGUAUAUGUGUGCUACUAGCUGCCGUUUCUCAAAUUGUCUUGAGCAGUACAAGAAAGCGUAUACUAAAGUCACUUCAAUCGAGGGCUCUGAACCUGGGUUGCUGGCAACUGAUGAUCCGAAUUGCUCGUCAGGAGCAGGAUGUUUAGCUGGGGCAGCUGAACUUCUAUGUCCACUCUGUCGUGGGCAGGUAAAGGGUUGGACGGUUGUGGAACCUGCACGCAAGCAUCUAAAUGCAAAGAAGAGAACAUGCAUGCAUGAAAAUUGCUCGUUUGUUGGAACGUACAAAAAGUUAAGGAAACAUGUAAGGCGGGAGCAUCCUUCAGCACGUCCCCUAGAAGUAGACCCUUCACUUGCAGAGAAAUGGAAGAAGCUUGAGCACGAGAGAGAGUUGAACGAUGUGUUUAGCACAAUCAGGUCUGCCAUGCCUGGGGCAAUUGUAAUGGGAGAUUAUGUAAUAGAUGGUAACUUCGGAGGGCUCCACAGGAAUUUUGGAUUGGAUAACCAUCUCGAUGAGACUCUUUUUAGGUCAGACCCUCUUAGUGAUCUGUGGAAUAAUAAUGUCCACCCAGACGAUCUUUUCGAUGAUAGCUAUCAUUCAUUUGAUCAGGAUGAUUUUUUUGUCCAUCAUUCUGGCACUGAGGCUGCAUCUAAUGUUUUCAACAGAAUCUCUCGACUUCACAGUAGGAUCCUAUUGGGACGAUCAAGGAGGCGGCAACGUCAUCGAGCAAGUAGUAGAAUCCGGUGAUCUUUCAGGAAAAGAAGGUUUUCAAGAGUGGUUAGGAUGAUGAGACAUGUUUGUUUGACUAUUGUUUUCUUUGUCCUAACCCAGAAAAAUAUGUGAGACAUCCAUGUUGCAGAUCCUAAUCGGUUGUUCCAGCGAGGAUUGAAGACCACUGCUUACAGCAAUUUGGAGUUCCUGUAGUUGCCUGUAAAUUUGCAUAGUAAAGUAAAUUCAACCCUCCUCCCUACUCUUAGGUACUUUUAUUUCAUGAAGUAGGCAAUAGUUUCAUAAAUCAGGUAAUAUUAAAGAUUUUGUUUUCCUCUCAUUGGAUAUAUGCAUAUCCUUGAGGAAAAGAAGGUUGCAACAUUAUUUAACUAUGAACUAGUACUAGUACUUCUUGUAUUGCCUUUGGUUUUGCGCGUUGGAUGAUUCGUG
RNAcentral lists this unclassified non-coding RNA (1458 nucleotides) under Hevea brasiliensis (rubber tree). The record is from RNAcentral. Lineage: Eukaryota; Viridiplantae; Streptophyta; Magnoliopsida; Malpighiales; Euphorbiaceae.